UACAGAGGUCUCGAGCGUUGUUCGGAUUCAUUGGGCGUAAAGGGUGCGUAGGCGGCGCGGUAAGUCGGGUGUGAAAUCUCGGAGCUUAACUCCGAAACUGCAUUCGAUACUGCCGUGCUUGAGGACUGGAGAGGAGACUGGAAUUUACGGUGUAGCGGUGAAAUGCGUAGAUAUCGUAAGGAAGACCAGUGGCGAAGGCGGGUCUCUGGACAGUUCCUGACGCUGAGGCACGAAAGCGUGGGGAGCAAACAGG
RNAcentral lists this ribosomal RNA (253 nucleotides) under uncultured bacterium. RNAcentral describes it as "partial 16S ribosomal RNA". It matches the Rfam family "Bacterial small subunit ribosomal RNA", at positions 524 to 776 of the family's 1533-position model. The record is from RNAcentral.